AGCCGGGCAUGGUGGCUCAUGCCUGAAAUCCCAGCACUUUGGGAUGUCAAGGUGAGUGGAUCAUAAGGUCAGGAGUUUGAGACCAGCCUGGCCAACAUGGUGAAACCCCGUCUCUACUAAAAAUACAAAAAUUAGCUGGGCAUGGCAGCAGAUGCCUGUAGUCCCAGCUUUUCGGGAGGCUGAGGCAGGAGAAUCACUUGAACCCGGGAGGUGGAGUUUGCAGUUAGCCAAGAUCGUGCCACUGCACUCCAGCCUUGGGAACAGAGCAAGACUCCAUCUUAAAAUAAAAAAAAGUGGACAAUUUCCACUGUGUCUUUGGGUCUUCAUUCAGAAGGCUCCUGUGUACUCGCAUAAAAUAAAUUUGUGUGACUUUUAUCCAGCCUCAUGUCAGUGAUUUUCAGUGAACCUCCAGGGAGCCAAGGGCCUUGUCCUUAGUAAGAUAAGGAGAGUAGCCUCAGGGUCAAAGGCUGCUGAAAGCCACAGUACCUAGGCCCUCAUUAAACUGCACCUAGGCAGCUGAAGGUCCUUUCCUCUGCCCCCUGCCACCCCUCCCAAGAUGUGAAGAUUAGACUGAACUGUAAGAGAAGGUAAACAUUCAUUUUACAAAUUCUCUUGGAGCUGGGAAUGUGAGUGUUUCAGAACUCAGAGCAGGAAAGAACUUUCUGUGACUCUGGGAGCUGGGGCUGGAGGAAGUCUGCAGCAUAGGUAGCUCAUGCAUGGACACUGCAGUCAGAUGACCCGGUACCAAAUCGUGGCACCAUCCUUCCGUCCCUUCCUCCCUUAACCUCUCUGUGCUUCAGUUUCCCCAGCUAUAGAAGAGGGUCAGAGGACCUUCUUCAGAGGUUACCCUGAGGACUAGAUGACAUGAGGACCAUAGUAGCUACAGAUGUAGAGCACAGAAGAAGUGUGCACACCAAAUGGCCUAGGGGAGGACCAGACAUCAACCUCCCAAGCUGGCUGAAAUCGUCCUACUAUCCGACACAGAGCUGGGGUCUCCCUAGUACCUGCUGCUCUGGAGUUCCUAGGAGAGGAAGAGGAAGGAGGCAAGGUAAGCUGGGGGCUUUUCACACUCAAGGCCUCCAGAGGGGUAGGGAGGAUUGGCACAGGUGCCAUGUUCGUUUGGUGUCUUGCUUUCAACUCUAGCUGGGCCCUGGAGCCACCGACGUCUGCUCGACCCUUCCCUGAUUUUGCUCCAGUUUGCUCUGCACUGGGAGACUGUAAGCCUCAGGGGGAGGGGAGCGUAAGGGGGCUGUAGAGUGAUAAGUUUCAAUGCAUAAUUCAGCCCUCCUGGGACCCAUUUCCAGAAAGUGGACUGGCUGAAGUUUGGCUGAGAAAGCCUGCAAUCCAAGGAUCUGGGUGAGGCAGCGUUGACAGUUAAUGUCCAAGGACAGUCACCGUAUCUGGAGUGGGGUUCAUCCACUCAUUAUUUAGUGGAGUGCCUCUAUUGUAUCAGACACUGCGCUAGGCACCCCGAUUUGGGCCUCCAGGCCUCCCUGAUGCCAUUUUAGACCUGUCUAAGUAAGCACCCACAUCUCAAAGGCAGCUUU
Callithrix jacchus (white-tufted-ear marmoset) is the source of this 1547-nucleotide long non-coding RNA. The record is from Ensembl. NCBI's taxonomy places the organism in Eukaryota, Metazoa, Chordata, Mammalia, Primates, Cebidae.